CUUCCUGUAGCGUAAUAAAUAGUGUGUGUGUGCUUUGGACUUCUAAUUCAAAGGUUGUGGAUUCGAAUCCCACCCAGGAUGG
Molecule: non-coding RNA, 82 nt
Organism: Trichonephila clavipes
Lineage: Eukaryota; Metazoa; Arthropoda; Arachnida; Araneae; Nephilidae
Source: the annotation of a GenBank genome assembly